Molecule: ribosomal RNA, 505 nt
Filed under: Sphingobacterium sp.
Lineage: Bacteria; Pseudomonadati; Bacteroidota; Sphingobacteriia; Sphingobacteriales; Sphingobacteriaceae
Description: bacterial SSU rRNA
Rfam family: Bacterial small subunit ribosomal RNA
Source: RNAcentral
GGCAGGCCUAAUACAUGCAAGUCGGACGGGAUCCGUCGGAGAGCUUGCUCGAAGACGGUGAGAGUGGCGCACGGGUGCGUAACGCGUGACCAACCUACCUCUAUCAGGGGGAUAGCCUCUCGAAAGAAAGAUUAACACCGCAUAACAUAUGUGACCGGCAUCGGUUGGAUAUUAAAUAUUUAUAGGAUAGAGAUGGGCUCGCGUGACAUUAGCUAGUUGGUAGGGUAACGGCUUACCAAGGCGACGAUGUCUAGGGGCUCUGAGAGGAGAAUCCCCCACACUGGUACUGAGACACGGACCAGACUCCUACGGGAGGCAUCAUUAAGGAAUAUUGGUCAAUGGGCGGAAGCCUGAACCAUCCAUGCCGCGUGCAGGAUGACUGCCCUAUGGGUUGUAAACUGCUUUUGUCCCGGAAUAAACCUUUCUACGUGUAGGAAGCUGAAUGUACUGGAAGAAUAAGGAUCGGCCAACUCCCUGCCACCAGCCGCGGUAACACGGAGGAUCC